UUAGUAGCCAUUUCAAUGUAACAGUCUAAAAUGGCAACAGUUAAUAAUUUUCACAUAGGCUACGAUUGUUUUUAACGCUCUUGAUAAGCGCAUGCGCACACACAGCAAUUCCCAUCCCCCACCCCUGACUGACAUUUCAACUCCAGCCACCAGUGACGUCAACUGUCACUUUUCUGUCAUGCAGCUGAUUACAUGUGUAAGCUGUUCAAACUCUGCCUGUCCUUAUCAUUCAAGACUGUGUGUUAUGAGGACUGCUUCCCUGAGAAUGCUGAGUGCAUUCUGGAAUAUUCCAAAUGUGUGCCACUUCCAUACAGACGCCCGCAAGAGAGUUCACUCAUCAGGUCAAAGUUGGUCUGUCCUGAUGGCACUACCUGCUGCUUGAUGAUGUCUAGUAGCCAUCGCUGCUGCUUUCAACGCGGUAGUCCUCACAAAUAAACUGAUAUCAAGAAUUAACAUAGAUGGUGAUGGUGGCAAGUGUGCCUUCAGAAGGUGCCACCCAGCAGUCCCAGCCUGCUUUUGCAAGUCCGAUGGGGGAUGAUCUAUGUUAAGGU
Molecule: long non-coding RNA, 551 nt
Organism: Alosa alosa (allis shad)
Lineage: Eukaryota; Metazoa; Chordata; Actinopteri; Clupeiformes; Clupeidae
Exons: 5
Source: RefSeq, a predicted model, not a curated record